This 253-nucleotide ribosomal RNA is filed under the name uncultured bacterium. RNAcentral describes it as "partial 16S ribosomal RNA". It matches the Rfam family "Bacterial small subunit ribosomal RNA", at positions 524 to 776 of the family's 1533-position model. The record is from RNAcentral.
UACGGGGGGGGCAAGCGUUGUUCGGAAUUACUGGGCGUAAGGGGCUCGUAGGUGGCCAACUAAGUCAGACGUGAAAUCCCUCGGCUUAACCGGGGAACUGCGUCUGAUACUGGAUGGCUUGAGUUCGGGAGAGGGAUGCGGAAUUCCAGGUGUAGCGGUGAAAUGCGCAGAUAUCAGGAGGAACACCGGUGGCGAAGGCGGGUCUCUGGGCCGGAACUGACGCUAAGGAGCGAAAGCGUGGGGAGCGAACAGG